GGUUAAGCUAAUAAGAGCACACGGAGGAUGCCUAGGCACCAGGAGCCGAAGAAGGACGUGGCGAACGACGAAAUGCCUCGGGGAGCCGUAAGCAGGCUUUGAUCCGGGGAUGUCCGAAUGGGGGAACCCGCGUGAGGUAAUACUCACGUACCACACAGUGAAUACAUAGCUGUGUAGGAGGCAGACGAGGGGAACUGAAACAUCUAAGUACCCUCAGGAAAAGAAAACAAAAGUGAUUCCGUCAGUAGCGGCGAGCGAAAGCGGAACAGCCCAAACCAAGGGGCUUGCCCCUUGGGGUUGUAGGACGUCAAUGUGAGUGCAGGUUGGUAGGCGAACAGGUCUGGAAAGGCCGGCCAAAGUGGGUAACAGCCCCGUAACCGAAAGCAACCGAGACUCUAGACGGAUCCUGAGUACGGCGGGACACGUGAAACCCCGUCGGAAUCCGGCAGGACCAUCUGCCAAGGCUAAAUACUCCCUGGUGACCGAUAGUGAAGCAGUACCGUGAGGGAAAGGUGAAAAGAACCGCGGGAGCGGAGUGAAAAAGAACCUGAAACCGUGUGCUUACAAGAAGUCAGAGCUCGUUAAUGAGUGAUGGCGUGCCUUUUGUAGAAUGAACCGGCGAGUUACGUUUACGCGCAAGGUUAAGGUGAGAAGCCGGAGCCGCAGCGAAAGCGAGUCUGAAUAGGGCGAAGCCAAUGCUUACGAAGUAGCAAUACUGCGUAUUGCUUGGAAGUACGUAGACGUAGACCCGAAACCGUGUGAUCUACCCCUGUCCAGGGUGAAGGUGCGGUAACACGCACUGGAGGCCCGAACCCACGAAUGUUGAAAAAUUCGGGGAUGAGGUGGGGGUAGCGGAGAAAUUCCAAUCGAACUCGGAGAUAGCUGGUUCUCCCCGAAAUAGCUUUAGGGCUAGCCUCGGGUGAUGAGUCGCGGAGGUAAAGCACUGAUUGGGUGCGGGGCCCGCCAAGGGUUACCAAGUCCAGUCAAACUCUGAAUGCCGCAGACUUUAACCCGGGAGUCAGACAGUGAGUGCUAAGAUCCAUUGUCAAGAGGGAAACAGCCCAGAUCAUCAGCUAAGGUCCCCAAGUGUGUGUUAAGUGGGAAAGGAUGUGGAGUUGCAAAGACAACCAGGAUGUUGGCUUAGAAGCAGCCACCAUUGAAAGAGUGCGUAAUAGCUCACUGGUCGAGUGACUCUGCGCCGAAAAUGUAACGGGGCUAAACACACCACCGAAGCUAUGAGUCCAAUGAUGGGCAGUAGGGGAGCGUUGUAACAGCAGUGAAGGUUGAUCGUGAGGACAGCUGGAGCGGUUACAAGUGAGAAUGCCGGUAUGAGUAACGAAAAGACAAGUGAGAAUCUUGUCCGCCGUAAGCCUAAGGGUUCCUGAGGAAGGUUCGUCCGCUCAGGGUAAGUCGGGACCUAAGGCGAGGCCGAAAGGCGUAGUCGAAGGACAACAGGUUGAAAUUCCUGUACCACCGUGAACCGUUAUGAGCAAUGGGGUGACGCAGAAGGAUAGUGACGCGGACUGAUGGAUGUCCGUCCAAGCAGCGAGGCUGGUUAGUAGGCAAAUCCGCUAACCGUAAGGCUGGGCUGUGAUGGGGAGCGAAAUUAUAGUAGCGAAGGUCAUGAGUUCAAGCUGCCAAGAAAAGCCUCUAGCCAGGGAGAAGGUGCCCGUACCGCAAACCGACACAGGUAGGCGAGCAGAGCAUGCUAAGGCGCUCGGAAGAACUCUCGUUAAGGAACUCGGCAAAAUGACCCCGUAACUUCGGGAGAAGGGGUGCCUCGGUAGGGUGAAUAGCCCGAGGGGGCCGCAGUGAAAAGGCCCAAGCGACUGUUUAGCAAAAACACAGGUCUGUGCGAAGCCGCAAGGCGAAGUAUACGGGCUGACGCCUGCCCGGUGCUGGAAGGUUAAGGGGAGCGGUUAGGGGUUAAACCCGAAGCUGUGAACCGAAGCCCCAGUAAACGGCGGCCGUAACUAUAACGGUCCUAAGGUAGCGAAAUUCCUUGUCAGGUAAAUUCUGACCCGCACGAAUGGCGUAACGACUUGGGCGCUGUCUCGACGAGAGAUCCGGUGAAAUUUUAAUACCUGUGAAGAUGCAGGUUACCCGCGACAAGACGGAAAGACCCCAUGGAGCUUUACUGCAGCUUGAUAUUGGACUUUGGUACGAUCUGUACAGGAUAGGUGGGAGCCUAGGAAGCCGGAGCGCCAGCUUCGGUGGAGGCGCCGUUGGGAUACCACCCUGAUCGUAUCGGAGUUCUAACCUGGCACCCUGAUCGGGUGCGGGGACAGUGUCAGGUAGGCAGUUUGACUGGGGCGGUCGCCUCCUAAAGAGUAACGGAGGCGCCCCAAGGUUCCCUCAGAAUGGUUGGAAAUCAUUCGAAGAGUGCAAAGGCAUAAGGGAGCUUGACUGCGAGACGUACAGGUCGAGCAGGGACGAAAGUCGGGCUUAGUGAUCCGGUGGUACCGAAUGGAAGGGCCAUCGCUCAACGGAUAAAAGCUACCCUGGGGAUAACAGGCUUAUCUCCCCCAAGAGUCCACAUCGACGGGGAGGUUUGGCACCUCGAUGUCGGCUCAUCGCAUCCUGGGGCUGAAGUAGGUCCCAAGGGUUGGGCUGUUCGCCCAUUAAAGCGGUACGCGAGCUGGGUUCAGAACGUCGUGAGACAGUUCGGUCCCUAUCUGUCGCGGGCGUAGGAAAUUUGAGAGGAGCUGUCCUUAGUACGAGAGGACCGGGAUGGACGUACCGCUGGUGUACCAGUUGUCUCGCCAGAGGCACGGCUGGAUAGCCAAGUACGGAAGGGAUAAGCGCUGAAAGCAUCUAAGCGUGAAGCCCCCCUCAAGAUGAGAUUUCCCAGUAUGUAAGACCCCUUGUAGACGACGAGGUAGAUAGGUUCGGGGUGGAAGCGCGGCAACGUGUGGAGCUGACGAAUACUAAUCGGUCGAGGGCUUAUCCUA
RNAcentral lists this ribosomal RNA (2951 nucleotides) under Paenibacillus sp. GD4. RNAcentral describes it as "23S ribosomal RNA". It matches the Rfam family "Bacterial large subunit ribosomal RNA". Lineage: Bacteria; Bacillati; Bacillota; Bacilli; Caryophanales; Paenibacillaceae. The record is from RNAcentral.